AGUGGCCCUGCGCCGAAAAUUCAACGGGGCUAAGCAUGAUACCGAAGCUGCGGAUUUGUAUUUCAGAUACAAGUGGUAGGGGAGCAUUCCUAACGGGUAGAAGUCGUACCGGAAGGAGCGGUGGACUGUUAGGAAGAGAGAAUGCUGGCAUAAGUAAGCGAGAAGGCAGGUGAGAAUCCUGCCCGCCGUAAACCUGAGGUUUCCUGGGGAAGGCUCGUCCGCCCAGGGUAAGCCGGGACCUAAGCCGAGGCCUAAAGGCGUAGGCGAUGGACAACUGGUUGAGAAUCCAGUGCCACCUAAAACCGCUAUGAGCAAUGGGGUGACGCAGGAGGAUAGGUGAAGCGCACGACUGGAAGAGUGCGUCCAAGCAUGUAGGAGGCAGAAUAGGCAAAUCCGUUCUGCGCAACUCCGAGGUGUGAUGGGGAGGGAAACGAAGUACCGAAGUCACUGACUCCAAACUGCCAAGAAAAGCCUCUAGCCAGGUCAGGGUGCCCGUACCGAAAACCGACACAGGUAGGUGAGGAGAGAAUCCUAAGGCGCGCGAGAGAACCCUCGUUAAGGAACUCGGCAAAAUGACCCCGUAACUUCGGGAGAAGGGGUGCUUUGUUAGAGUGAGUAUAUAAACAUGUACGAGCUUGAGAGAGCCGCAGCGAAAUGGCCCAGGCGACUGUUUACCAAAAACACAGGUCUCUGCUAAAUCGAAAGAUGAUGUAUAGAGGCUGACGCCUGCCCGGUGCUGGAAGGUUAAGGGGAAUGCUAAGCGGCAACGCGAAGGUGUGAACCGAAGCCCCAGUGAACGGCGGCCGUAACUAUAACGGUCCUAAGGUAGCGAAAUUCCUUGUCUGGUAAGUUCAGACCCGCACGAAAGGCGUAACGAUCUGGGCGCUGUCUCGACGAGGGGCUCGGUGAAAUUGUAAUACCGGUGAAGAUGCCGGUUACCUGCGAUAGGACAGAAAGACCCCGUGGAGCUUUACUGUAGCUUGAUAUUGGAUUUUGGUAGUUGAUGUACAGGAUAGGUGGGAGACUAAGAAAGCAGGUCGCAAGGCUUGCUGGAGUCAAUGGUGGGAUACCACUCUUGAAUUGCUGAAAUUCUAACCUUGUCCCGUAAACCGGGUCAGGGACAGUGUCAGGCGGGCAGUUUGACUGGGGCGGUCGCCUCCCAAAGAGUAACGGAGGCGCCCAAAGGUUCCCUCAGCGCGGAUGGAAAUCGCGCGAAGAGUGUAAAGGCAUAAGGGAGCUUGACU
Molecule: ribosomal RNA, 1244 nt
Filed under: fermentation metagenome
Description: bacterial LSU rRNA
Rfam family: Bacterial large subunit ribosomal RNA
Source: RNAcentral